GAAGGUGCACAUGGGGAAAGGAGGAAAGAAGUCUUACAUUAGCACAUCUGAAUAUUUCAAGUUUGGGGGACUUAGGGUUAAGAUUUCCCAGAUGACACACAGAUCCAUUUCCUUCUCUUGCAUCAUGCAGCCUCUAAAGUAUAUGCUUUCACCUAGAACAAGCAACUCCCUUUUUUCACUGCUUGAGAACAGAUGAUAUUUCAAAAGAGGCCUUCUGGAGCUGCAACCCACCUUUUCAAAAACCUUCCCUGAAAAGAAGACUGGAUGGAAAUUGUCGUGUCCAACAAUGACUUCCUGAAGAAGGAUAAUAUAUAACCACCUCCUUCAAGGCAGCAGAACCACUCUCUCCCCCACGGGGACUAACACCACUGUAUGGAUCUAAUCACCUCCCAAUUGUCCUUCCCAAAGCUAUGAAGGGAAUACAUUCCAAUAAAUAAAUGGCUAAAAACAAUGCUAACUAUAAUCCAGUAUAAAAUGCUGUUAUACUGAAGUUGUGUGUGUGUGGUCCCUUUGGGUUCAUACAGUACAUCUGUGGACAUGGAGGUGGUUUUGCAGUCCCAGCCUGGAAGCACAGACAGAGUUCUAAUAGGACUGCUAGAAGUGUACUUCUGCAGUAACUGC
Pseudonaja textilis is the source of this 621-nucleotide non-coding RNA. NCBI's taxonomy places the organism in Eukaryota, Metazoa, Chordata, Lepidosauria, Squamata, Elapidae. The record is from RefSeq and is a predicted model, not a curated record.